RNAcentral lists this transfer RNA (68 nucleotides) under Eleutheronema tetradactylum (Indian salmon). RNAcentral describes it as "tRNA-Asp". It matches the Rfam family "tRNA". From Rfam's summary of the family: Transfer RNA (tRNA) molecules are approximately 80 nucleotides in length. Their secondary structure includes four short double-helical elements and three loops (D, anti-codon, and T loops). Lineage: Eukaryota; Metazoa; Chordata; Actinopteri; Polynemidae. The record is from RNAcentral. RNAcentral also lists the same sequence under 1 other name.
AAGAUACUAGUUAAGUAUAACCUCACCUUGUCAAGGUGAAAUCGUGGGUUAGACCCCCACGUGUCUUA